UAUUUCUUCUGCAUGAUUGUCUAUAUCUAUUAAACAUGUGUCUUUAUUUUGUUGUAAUUUUGUAGCAUUGAGAAUAACAGCUUUGAGACCACCUUCUAAUUUGUUUAUGAAUUGUUGGGCAAAUUUUUCCAAGGUGGAUGAAGUUUUUUUAAAUGUUUGGAAUGCGUCUGAAAUGUUGAUAGGUUUGUGUUUUCCUUCCCAUUCCUUGUGGUCCAUAAUUGUACAGUUCACACAGAUUGGAGUUUUACAACCUGUGCAGUAGAACUCCAAAGGUUUACUGUGAUGUGAACACAGAGGUGGAUGUAACAAAGUCAUCUGAGAGGGGCUCAUUGAUUGCACAUCCUCCAUUAAAUGUAACUUGUGAUUCGCCAUGGCUUUAAACUUCUUAUGUUGAUCACUACAAGUAGAGCACAAGUACUGUCUGCAAUCCUGGCAGUAGUAUUUUACUUGUCUUUUCUUUUCACAAACACUACAUUUCAUGUGACCACUCUCUGAAAAUAGUUCGAUAGUUUCUAAUAAGUUAUUUAGAAAGGUAUUUGGUGGAAGCUUCUCAAGCCCUCUUUUUGGAAUUGGAUAUGAUUUUGAGCAAGUUGGGCAAGUCAGCUGACCCUUCUCCUUAACCCAAUCUUCCAGGCAUGCCAAACAGAAACUAUGGAGGCAGUUGAGGGAUUUUGGAUUUUGAAGUCUCUUAAAGCAGAUGGUACACUCUAAGACCUUCUCAUCAACAUGUUCCAGAAACUGAUUCAACUUACUGGUAGCCAUCUUUAAUUGAUAUCCUGUGAAAUUUAAAUAAUAGCCGGGUUUUGUUUUCGUCCUCAGCAAAUCAAACAACGGCAGCAGAGUCCAUACAAGAAGAAGAAUAAGGAAGAGCUGGAAGCAAGAGAACACAGAUGAGGAGGAGGCGGAGCAAAAUAAAUACUGUGUCAUCUGGUCUGUCAAGAGUCAUCAGACAUUUUCAAAGAUUUUCAUUUAAGGUUUGAACAAUUGUUUGAUUUGUGUGUUAAGAACUAUAUCAUAUGAUUCAAUCUUGAGUAAUCAUGAUAUACAGUUUUUUGUAAUACUUGACCGAGUUACUUCAAAUUCAAUAUUAAUUAUGAACAAUUAAGGAAUUAAUUGAAUCAAUGGACCCUCAUAAACUCAACAAACUGAACGUUUAAUAGGAAUAUUCUAGACUUGUUUUAAAGACU
Long non-coding RNA from Anneissia japonica, 1187 nucleotides. RefSeq lists it as uncharacterized. The transcript has 3 exons. The record is from RefSeq and is a predicted model, not a curated record. NCBI's taxonomy places the organism in Eukaryota, Metazoa, Echinodermata, Crinoidea, Comatulida, Comatulidae.